UAAGGCCAGACCAGGCUGAGUGUGAC
Molecule: non-coding RNA, 26 nt
Filed under: Homo sapiens (human)
Lineage: Eukaryota; Metazoa; Chordata; Mammalia; Primates; Hominidae
Source: RNAcentral